ACUGUGGAAUCGCUUGUUGAGCCUCUAUCGCGAGCGACAAAAAUCAAAUGGACUAGAACAAUGGAUCAGAUAUUGUUCGAUACGUUACUUGAGCAAAUAGCUUUAGGCCAAAAGGCGGAUAAUGGAUUUAAGAGAGAAACAUAUCAUGCGGCUACUGAGGAGGUGUCUAGGAGGAUUGAAAUUUUGGUAAACUGGUAAAAUGUGCAAAACUGAUUGCAGUAUCAUAAACGAGAGUACAACGAUGUGAAGGACAUGCUGGCCGCAAGUGGUUUUGGGUGGGAUAGCGAGCAUAUGGUUGUCAUGGCACCAGAUGAGGUUUGGGAAGAGUACUUGAAGGUAAAGAUUGCUCAUAACCCCUUUCAUUGAAUUUCAUUUGUCACAUAGAUAUCUCUCUUAAUUAUGUGUAUUCGACUAUCAUCUACUUACCUAAUCCCUUCCUUGUAUGUAGUCGCAUCUGAGAGCAGAAAGACUAUGCGGGAAGAUAGAACGAUUGGAUGAUUUAGCGGCGAUUGUAGGUUCAGACCAUGUAACAGGCCACUACGCCUAAGGAAGCAAGAACAUGGCCGCAUCUUCAUCUCGUAUUUAACAAGAUCUGAAUGAAGCUUGGAUUGACCUGGAUGAUGACACCGAUGCACCUAUCGAUAUUUUCGAGGAAAAUCUCAGGGAUUCGACUCAGAAUUUUUAAGCUUCGAAGGAAAGCCAUAGGGCAUCAGAAAAUUGCUAAUUCUGUAGCACUCCCAGCCAAGCAACUGAAUCUGAGAGUAGUCGUAGUGGGAGUACGACAACGAAGAGUAUGCAUUCUACUCGUCCCUUUGAUGUCCUCGGCAUAUCUCUAAAUGGGGUGGCAGAGGCAAUGCACAAAUUUGGACUUGGUAAAGAGGUCAACCGUACUAGUAAAGUCCUGGAUAUCCUUGAGAGAGGUUUAGGGACUGACCAACCCAGAGUUCCUUGAGUUUGUUUAGCUUCUAACCAGGGAUGAGAAGCUAGCCUCCUUUUUUGUAAGUCUUCGACUAGAGCGGAGGGUCAAUUGGUUAAAAAAACUUUGUCUGAUUUCAAUAGAAAUGUUGGUAGGGGUUCUAAUUGAUGGUUGAAACAACCUUAAUUAGAUUUCAUUUUAGAUAAUUUCAAUGAAGGAUAUGUAAUAACUAUAUACUCAUUUGUGUUUUUGUUAGUGACCGUCUUUUUCACAUGUCUUUGGAUAUUUAUAUACUGUACCACCUGCAUGAUAUUCUGCUUUGUGUGAAACUAAUCUGCCCUUUUCAGUACUAUUCACUUUACAUGCCUUCAUAUUAUGAAUUGUAUAACAUGCAUUUUUUCAUAUCUUGGUUAUGUUUAUGUGAAUAUAGAUGGGUUUAAGUAAAUAUUACAUUAUAGUCAAUGGUCGUCGACUUGGGAUAUAUGUCUUGGGAUGAGGCACGGUUGCAUAUAGAAGGAUAUAAUGGUGUCAGACAUCGAUCCUUCAAAUCUUUCCAACAUGCGACUGCAUGGUGGAAUUCUAACCAUGCAAGUAUGAGUAGUGAGUUAAUGAUCUAGAGUUGUAGUGAGGUUGAGUCACCUACAUAUGCCACUAAAUCGAUCUAAGAAAUUUUGAGGUCCAGGGUGUGCAAGAGUACCUAAACAGAUGAUACUCACACGAAUUACAGGGAAAUGGUGGCUGCAUUUGUAAUUGUCAUCUUGGUUACAAUGUUCAUCUUAUAUUUAAUUAUUAAGCUGUAGUUUCAGUGUUCCAGCACUUAUUCUCACUCUGUUUUUGGUAGACAUCAGAUAUUUGAAUCUAGUAGGCUUUUUCAAUGGCAUGUAUAAUUGCAGGAUACGAAUAUGUUUUAAUCAUCUCUAGAUUUGCAUGUAUUUAAUAGUACUGAUUUAUUCCAAUAGAAUGUAACAUGUGCUUUUAAUUCCUGCAUGCAUUACAAUCUUAUAACCGUCAUCCCAUAAUCUCCAUGAGUAUGGAGUUCACAGCAUUCCGUCUUGACACCUGAACAUAAGUUCCCAAGGGCCAGGUAUGAUGUCUUUAAAUUGUGAUCAGAUUAAUGUAUAAUUCUAUUUCUUUUGUGAACGCAUGUGUAGACAAGAUCUAUCAUGGAGGGUAACCACCGGAUCAUUCGAAGAUCGUGUGUUAAAUUGGUAUGAAUUUCCAUUUCCAAUUUACAUUACAAGUUAUCACAUACUGACAUCAAUCGGACAUGUACGGGUAGUAGUCAGACCUAGUAGAAGAAUAUGCAUUGUGUUUCUCUGGGUUGAUGUACAAUGCCUUUCAUCCGUCACCUAAAAUCUCCUUCUCGAAUAAGGUCAUGCACCAAACAACUAUGCAGGGCGAACUCCAACUCUGAGACUUGAUUCCAUCGGCUUGUACAAUAAUUCAUGUCCCUGGUUCACGAUCCGUAAGGUGGCUCCAUCUUUCUGAUCUAUCACAUGACAUAGACAUUGUGGUCGUCUUGUAGGGGAGAUUGGAAGAACAUGACAGAAGAACUGAAGAUAUUUGCGUGAUGUUUAUUAUGAGUUGAUGUGUUUGU
Magnolia sinica is the source of this 2513-nucleotide long non-coding RNA. RefSeq lists it as uncharacterized. The transcript is spliced from 3 exons. NCBI's taxonomy places the organism in Eukaryota, Viridiplantae, Streptophyta, Magnoliopsida, Magnoliales, Magnoliaceae. The record is from RefSeq and is a predicted model, not a curated record.